This 468-nucleotide ribosomal RNA is filed under the name uncultured bacterium. RNAcentral describes it as "bacterial SSU rRNA". It matches the Rfam family "Bacterial small subunit ribosomal RNA", at positions 28 to 490 of the family's 1533-position model. The record is from RNAcentral.
GAUGAGCGCUAGCGGCAGGCUUAAUACAUGCAAGUCGUGGGGCAGCAUGAGUAGCAAUACUUGAUGGCGACCGGCAAACGGGUGAGGAACACGUACACAACCUUCCUUCAAGCGGGGAAUAGCCCAGAGAAAUUUGGAUUAAUACCCCAUAAUAUAUUUGAUAAGGCAUCUUAUUAAUAUUAAAGCUUCGGCACUUGAUGAUGGGUGUGCGGCUGAUUAGAUAGUUGGCGGGGUAACGGCCCACCAAGUCUACGAUCAGUAGCUGAUGUGAGAGCAUGAUCAGCCACACGGGCACUGAGACACGGGCCCGACUCCUACGGGAGGCAGCAGUAAGGAAUAUUGGACAAUGGACGAAAGUCUGAUCCAGCCAUGCCGCGUGAAGGAUUAAGGGUCCUCUGGAUUGUAAACUUCUUUAUAUGGGACGAAAAAAGGGCAUUCUUGUUCACUUGACGGUACCAUAUGAAUAAG